ACGGAAGCAGCAGUGGGGAAUAUUGGACAAUGGGGGAAACCCUGAUCCAGCGACGCCGCGUGAGUGAAGAAGUAUUUCGGUAUGUAAAGCUCUAUCAGCAGGAAAGAAAAUGACGGUACCUGACUAAGAAGCCCCGGCUAACUACGUGCCAGCAGCCGCGGUAAUACGUAGGGGGCAAGCGUUAUCCGGAUUUACUGGGUGUAAAGGGAGCGUAGACGGUAAGGCAAGUCUGAAGUGAAAUGCGGGGGCUCAACCCCUGAACUGCUUUGGAAACUGUUUUACUAGAGUGCAGGAGAGGUAAGUGGAAUUCCUAGUGUAGCGGUGAAAUGCGUAGAUAUUAGGAGGAACACCAGUGGCGAAGGCGGCUUACUGGACUGUAACUGACGUUGAGGCUCGAAAGCGUGGGGAGCAAACAGGAUUAGAUACCCUGGUA
This 433-nucleotide ribosomal RNA is filed under the name uncultured Lachnospiraceae bacterium. Its description in RNAcentral is "partial 16S ribosomal RNA". It matches the Rfam family "Bacterial small subunit ribosomal RNA", at positions 341 to 792 of the family's 1533-position model. Lineage: Bacteria; Bacillati; Bacillota; Clostridia; Lachnospirales; Lachnospiraceae. The record is from RNAcentral.